This 70-nucleotide transfer RNA is filed under the name Loxodonta africana (African savanna elephant). It matches the Rfam family "tRNA". Rfam says of the family: Transfer RNA (tRNA) molecules are approximately 80 nucleotides in length. Lineage: Eukaryota; Metazoa; Chordata; Mammalia; Proboscidea; Elephantidae. The record is from Rfam by way of RNAcentral.
GCAUUGGUAGUCCAGUGGUAGAAUUCUUGCCUACCAUGCAGGAGACCUGGAUUCAACUCCCGCCAAUGCA